CUUCGAGAGAGAUCAAGAAGAGCAAAGGUAAUCGGAGGAGGGAAUCGAUUUAUACCAAAGUGGAAAUCAAACAAGGAUUUGAUAUUUGUUUGAAUCCAUUAAGAAAGGAGCCAAGAAGGAGACCAAGGGAAGGGAGUAGGGAAGAAAAAGCAAAAAGUAGUCACUCUUUUCCUUUAAUGUGAUUGUGCAUUGAUUGCCACAUGCUUGGGUAUGCUUUUAUGCUGAUUUUGCAUGAGAACAUGUAACUUGCCUUUGCAUGAUAAUAUUUGUCAUGACAAUAUGUGCUGGUUUCCAUUUAUUUUGGAAUGUGGGUGCAAUAGAUAGCGAUUGGCUAUAUGGGUGUAUGGUGUAUGUGCAUCAUUGAUUAUAUUUGGAGUGUUCUCUUUGGCCUGUGUAGCAUGUUGUUUGUGAUCUUGUAUGAUUACGCGAAGGAAAUUUGUUACUACUGAGAUUCUUUAGAAUCUCAUCCCUUCUUCCAUGUAAUACAGCAAGAGCAAAUACUCCUAAAGGCAAGGGAGUAGUGAUCGGUGGAGUUUGAAAGGAAGCUGGCGAUCUUUUGUAUAUAUAUAUUUUGCUUAAAAUGCAUCUUAUUUUGAAGUAAAGAUAUAUUGUAUAUCUAUUUUGGUAUGUAAAUAUUCCUCCAUAAGGAGAUGGCUAAGGGCAGAUAAACCAUGAUAACUGUUAUUGAAGGAAAUGAUCAAUAUUUUGAUAUAUAGUUAUUAUUUUGUCUAAAA
Molecule: long non-coding RNA, 734 nt
Organism: Neltuma alba
Lineage: Eukaryota; Viridiplantae; Streptophyta; Magnoliopsida; Fabales; Fabaceae
Exons: 2
Source: RefSeq, a predicted model, not a curated record